AUUAAACUUAUUUUAAACUCGUGGUUUUUUAAAGGUGAAAUUUGUAGGUUUAUCGUCAGUACAUUGUUAUAAUAGGUAAUCAAUAGUUGGACAUUUUAAGGAAAAUAAAAAAAUGAAAAACACUAUAAUUGGAUACAUGGAUGCAACCGAUACAUUAGUGAGGAAAAGUGACAAAAACAUUAAGAGGAUUUUAUAUUAUGCCAGUUUUAAAUGUACUAGUACCUAGAAAUUCAAGUGCUACUUGUCCGGUUCUUGAAUUGAUCAGUUUAGCGAAGGACAGCAACAAACACCAGACUACUUGAACUGGUGUUAUAAAGUAUUGGUUGAAAGCAUUUAUUGGUCAAAUGUUAAAGUGAUAAAUGUUUGUCAUUAUACAAAAAUAAUAAUGCAUUGUGUUUAUAAAUAUUAUCAUCUAGAAUCCAACAGUGGCAAGGCUGGGAAAUUAUAAAAAAACUAUAUUAUCGAUUACUAUAUAUGUAUACUGUUUAACGAAGUAACUUUAGAAGAUAUAUAAAAAUGGUUCAUACAAAUUUGCCUUCAUACUGUUGUCUCCCAAUGAAACUGAAGAAAUUAAAUGUCAGAUUAUUACUAUGAAAACCUACUCUAAUUUUGAUUAUCAGUCACCUGACAAAUCAGCUCAUGAAGAUAAUUUGGGUGAACUGUAUAAGUUCCUAUGCGUAUCCGAAUUUGAUAUUUCUAUGAUGUAUUACAAAUUUUAGUCAUUAAAAGAAUGAAAGUGAUGACAAAAGGUCAAGAAAAGCAAAAACAAACCAAUUGAGCAAAUAAAUGUAUACUCUUCUUUUCACUUUGGACACCUUUUGUGAAUAACAAUGUUAAAACAGAGUUUAAAAUCGCCAGAGUAAUAUUAUGUUCGAAUCUUGGUUCAAAACUGUUAAAAGCAACAUGUUACAUGGUGAUCGCAGACUAAAUGUAGCAGAUUUUUGAGAUUGACUAGAGAACGUAUACUCAAUAUUCAAAAACAAAUAACUUAGAAAAUGUGGAAACUAGGUGUAUGCAAGUGCUCAAUUCUGAUAAUGAAUGAAAGAUCCAGAACCUAGAUAAUUCAAAAGUUGUUGAAAAAAUUACAAAAGGAAAUACUGAGUUUAUAUAAUUUUAACGCAACAGAAAAUUGAGGAAAAAAGAAAAAUCACAUAAACCCCUAUCUAAGCAUAAGCCAUUUAAAUUACAAAAAUCUAUUGGCAAUGAGAAGAAUCAAAAAACAUUUUGCAGGAAUGUACGAAUAUGUUAAAUUUUAACAAAAAAAGUUUUAUUAUGAAAAUUAAAUUUAACUAAAGUGUGUGGGCAUGAACAAUUUGACUUCAACAACUGGUUAUUUUAAAUCUAUUCAAUCGAACUGCCAGGUUAGAAAAUUACUAUAAAAAUAGUCUUCCUAAGGAUUUAACAUACUACACACUUAGAAAGUGGUCUGGUAAAAAUAGUAAUAAGUAUUAUUUAGUUGGAACAUACAAUUAAAUAAAGAAUGACUUAAAUUCAGAUAUCCUAGUACUUAGACAUUGCAGCCUUUGACAAAUUAACAGAAAACCUUUGACUGUGUUAACUUUAUCAAUAACUUUGUUACCAAUAUCUGUUUGGCAACGUAUGCUAAACAAUUUGGUAUAAUAUAUAUAUAUAAAGCUGACAAAUUAUCAUUACUUAGUUAAGCAGAAAUUAUGCAUAUUACUUGUAUUUUGCUUAAGAGUUAAAACCUGUUUAAUAUACAUUUAUAUACAUGUUCAUUGUGUGGUACUGAAUUAAAUUCCUAAAGAACAGAAUUGAAGAUGAUGAAAACACCGAUUACUUCUGUUUUUAUGACAUAAGUAAAAGUAAUAAUCAUGAUUCAGUAGAUCAUGAUUGAAUGGAAAUUCUUGAGAUAUGCCAACUUUAAAUUGUAUAUCUCUUGUUAACCUAUUGCAUCAUAACUUGGUUUGGUUUCUUUGGCGGAGCGAAUAUGUAUUUCAGGUAUUAAGCUCUUGAAUGGAUUAUUACGAGAUAAUAUUAACUCACCUGAUUCACUUUCCUUAUUAUGUUUUAAAGUAGGUACUUCAACAAUCUUUUGCUCUGGACACCUAUUAUCAUAGGAACAUCUAGAUGAUUCCGUAUUAUAUUGAACAAACCAUGGCAAAAAAUAUUGUCUUCGAUGAAGUAGUCGAAGAAUUUAAAAAAAAAUAAAUAGUUUGUAUGAUCACUGUCUAGUUUUAUAAAUAGUCUACUGUAAUCUUUUUAUAAUAUUCUCUUAAUUUAAAUCAAUUAUAUCAAAAAUAUAUAUUUUUUUGUUUGAAUUUUAUUAAUGAUUGCUUAAGAUAUAACAGAAUGCUAUGCAAAUAAAAG
This is a non-coding RNA of Cinara cedri, 2328 nucleotides long. The record is from the annotation of a GenBank genome assembly. NCBI's taxonomy places the organism in Eukaryota, Metazoa, Arthropoda, Insecta, Hemiptera, Aphididae.